GACGAACGCUGGCGGCAUGCCUAACACAUGCAAGUCGAACGAGACCUUCGGGUCUAGUGGCGCACGGGUGCGUAACGCGUGGGAUCCUGCCCUUAGGUUCGGAAUAACUCCCCGAAAGGGGUGCUAAUACCGGAUAAUGUCUUCGGACCAAAGAUUUAUCGCCUUUGGAUGGGCCCGCGUUGGAUUAGCUAGUUGGUAGGGUAAAAGCCUACCAAGGCGACGAUCCAUAGCUGGUCUGAGAGGAUGAUCAGCCACACUGGGACUGAGACACGGCCCAGACUCCUACGGGAGGCAGCAGUGGGGAAUAUUGGACAAUGGGCGAAAGCCUGAUCCAGCAAUGCCGCGUGAGUGAUGAAGGCCUUAGGGUUGUAAAGCUCUUUUACCCGGGAUGAUAAUGACAGUACCGGGAGAAUAAGCUCCGGCUAACUCCGUG
This 433-nucleotide ribosomal RNA is filed under the name uncultured bacterium. Its description in RNAcentral is "partial 16S ribosomal RNA". It matches the Rfam family "Bacterial small subunit ribosomal RNA", at positions 28 to 507 of the family's 1533-position model. The record is from RNAcentral.